This 1183-nucleotide ribosomal RNA is filed under the name uncultured Acinetobacter sp. RNAcentral describes it as "bacterial SSU rRNA". It matches the Rfam family "Bacterial small subunit ribosomal RNA", at positions 151 to 1328 of the family's 1533-position model. The record is from RNAcentral. Lineage: Bacteria; Pseudomonadati; Pseudomonadota; Gammaproteobacteria; Moraxellales; Moraxellaceae.
CCGAAAGGAAUGCUAAUACCGCAUACGCCCUACGGGGGAAAGCAGGGGAUCUUCGGACCUUGCGCUAAUAGAUGAGCCUAAGUCAGAUUAGCUAGUUGGUGGGGUAAAGGCCUACCAAGGCGACGAUCUGUAGCGGGUCUGAGAGGAUGAUCCGCCACACUGGGACUGAGACACGGCCCAGACUCCUACGGGAGGCAGCAGUGGGGAAUAUUGGACAAUGGGCGAAAGCCUGAUCCAGCCAUGCCGCGUGUGUGAAGAAGGCCUUUUGGUUGUAAAGCACUUUAAGCGAGGAGGAGGCUACUUGGAUUAAUACUCUAGGAUAGUGGACGUUACUCGCAGAAUAAGCACCGGCUAACUCUGUGCCAGCAGCCGCGGUAAUACAGAGGGUGCGAGCGUUAAUCGGAUUUACUGGGCGUAAAGCGUGCGUAGGCGGCUUUUUAAGUCGGAUGUGAAAUCCCUGAGCUUAACUUAGGAAUUGCAUUCGAUACUGGGAAGCUAGAGUAUGGGAGAGGAUGGUAGAAUUCCAGGUGUAGCGGUGAAAUGCGUAGAGAUCUGGAGGAAUACCGAUGGCGAAGGCAGCCAUCUGGCCUAAUACUGACGCUGAGGUACGAAAGCAUGGGGAGCAAACAGGAUUAGAUACCCUGGUAGUCCAUGCCGUAAACGAUGUCUACUAGCCGUUGGGGCCUUUGAGGCUUUAGUGGCGCAGCUAACGCGAUAAGUAGACCGCCUGGGGAGUACGGUCGCAAGACUAAAACUCAAAUGAAUUGACGGGGGCCCGCACAAGCGGUGGAGCAUGUGGUUUAAUUCGAUGCAACGCGAAGAACCUUACCUGGUCUUGACAUAGUAAGAACUUUCCAGAGAUGGAUUGGUGCCUUCGGGAACUUACAUACAGGUGCUGCAUGGCUGUCGUCAGCUCGUGUCGUGAGAUGUUGGGUUAAGUCCCGCAACGAGCGCAACCCUUUUCCUUAUUUGCCAGCGAGUAAUGUCGGGAACUUUAAGGAUACUGCCAGUGACAAACUGGAGGAAGGCGGGGACGACGUCAAGUCAUCAUGGCCCUUACGACCAGGGCUACACACGUGCUACAAUGGUCGGUACAAAGGGUUGCUACCUAGCGAUAGGAUGCUAAUCUCAAAAAGCCGAUCGUAGUCCGGAUUGGAGUCUGCAACUCGACUCCAUGAAGUCG